RNAcentral lists this unclassified non-coding RNA (395 nucleotides) under soil metagenome. RNAcentral describes it as "partial contains 5.8S ribosomal RNA, internal transcribed spacer 2, and large subunit ribosomal RNA". The stretch from base 1 to 121 matches the Rfam family "5.8S ribosomal RNA", at positions 35 to 154 of the family's 154-position model. The record is from RNAcentral.
GAUGAAGAACGCAGCGAACGUGCGAAACGUAAUGUGAAUUGCAGAAUUCAGUGAAUCAUCGAAUCUUUGAACGCAUCUUGCGCUCCUUGGUAUUCCGAGGAGCAUGCCUGUUUGAGUGUCGUGAAUACUCUUAACUUCAACCCUUUUUUCGGAAAGGGAGGAAGGUUGGACUUGGGUGUUUGUUGAAGUGCGAGCUUCGACUCAUCCUAAAUGCAUUAGCGAUCUGCCUCGAUCACACACAAUGUGAUAAUUAAAACUAAAGCAUUGUUUAAUGAUCAAGUCGAGACUGCUUCUAACUGUCGCAAGACAAUAACGUGCAUACAUUUGUGCAUGUCAUUUGACCUCAAAUCAGGUAGGACUACCCGCUGAACUUAAGCAUAUCAAUAAGCGGAGGA